AGAGUUUGAUUAUGGCUCAGGAUGAACGCUAGCUACAGGCUUAACACAUGCAAGUCGAGGGGCAUCAGGGAGAAAGCUUGCUUCUUGCUGGCGACCGGCGCACGGGUGAGUAACGCGUAUCCAACCCUUCCCCCCAGUAGGGCAUAGCCCGGCGAAAGUCGGAUUAAUACCCUAUGUUGUGUCAUGAGGACAUCUGAAUAACACCAAAGAUUUAUCGCUGGGGGAUGGGGAUGCGUCCGAUUAGGUUGUUGGCGGGGUAACGGCCCACCAAGCCCGCGAUCGGUAGGGGUUCUGAGAGGAAGGUCCCCCACACUGGUACUGAGACACGGACCAGACUCCUACGGGAGGCAGCAGUGAGGAAUAUUGGUCAGUGGGCGAGAGCCUGAACCAGCCAAAAGUAGCGUGCAGGACGACGGCCCUAUGGGUUGUAAACUGCUUUUAUGCGGGGAUAAAGUGACGUACGUGUACGUUUUUGUAGGUACCGCAUGAAUAAGGACCGGCUAAUUCCGUGCCAGCCGCCGC
Molecule: ribosomal RNA, 522 nt
Filed under: uncultured bacterium
Lineage: Bacteria
Description: bacterial SSU rRNA
Rfam family: Bacterial small subunit ribosomal RNA
Source: RNAcentral